RNAcentral lists this ribosomal RNA (301 nucleotides) under uncultured bacterium. RNAcentral describes it as "partial 16S ribosomal RNA". It matches the Rfam family "Bacterial small subunit ribosomal RNA", at positions 509 to 807 of the family's 1533-position model. The record is from RNAcentral.
CAGUAGCCGCGGGAAUACGUAGGUGGCAAGCGUUGUCCGGAAUUAUUGGGCGUAAAGGGCUCGCAGGCGGUUUCUUAAGUCUGAUGCGAAAGCCCCCGGCUCAACCGGGGAGGGUCAUUGGAAACUGGGAAACUUGAGUGCAGAAAAGGAGAGUGGAAUUCCACGUGAAGCGGUGAAAUGCGUAGAGAUGUGGAGGAACACCAGUGGCGAAGGCGACUCUCUGGUCUGUAACUGACGCUGAGGAGCGAAAGCGUGGGGAGCGAACAGGAUUAGAGACCCCAGUAGUCCCUGUCUCUUAUAC